This 495-nucleotide ribosomal RNA is filed under the name uncultured bacterium. RNAcentral describes it as "partial 16S ribosomal RNA". It matches the Rfam family "Bacterial small subunit ribosomal RNA", at positions 28 to 507 of the family's 1533-position model. The record is from RNAcentral.
GACGAACGCUGGCGGCGUGCCUAAUACAUGCAAGUAGAACGCUGAAGGAGGAGCUUGCUCUUCUGGAUGAGUUGCGAACGGGUGAGUAACGCGUAGGUAACCUGCCUGGUAGCGGGGGAUAACUAUUGGAAACGAUAGCUAAUACCGCAUAACAGUAGAUGUUGCAUGACAUUUGCUUAAAAGGUGCAAUUGCAUCACUACCAGAUGGACCUGCGUUGUAUUAGCUAGUUGGUGGGGUAACGGCUCACCAAGGCGACGAUACAUAGCCGACCUGAGAGGGUGAUCGGCCAAACUGGGACUGAGACACGGCCCAGACUCCUACGGGAGGCAGCAGUAGGGAAUCUUCGGCAAUGGACGGAAGUCUGACCGAGCAACGCCGCGUGAGUGAAGAAGGUUUUCGGAUCGUAAAGCUCUGUUGUAAGAGAAGAACGAGUGUGAGAGUGGAAAGUUCACACUGUGACGGUAUCUUACCAGAAAGGGACGGCUAACUACGUG